This 1718-nucleotide long non-coding RNA is filed under the name Citrus maxima (pomelo). RNAcentral describes it as "long non-coding RNA (CMAX_LNC000444)". Lineage: Eukaryota; Viridiplantae; Streptophyta; Magnoliopsida; Sapindales; Rutaceae. The record is from RNAcentral.
AUCGGUUGAAAAAGAGAGAUGGAGAGACAAGAGAGAAAAGAAAAGAAAAAAGAGAAGAAGAAAGUCUUCUUCUUCUUCUUAGUUUUGCCAUAGACAACACAUUGGAUCAAGUUGUUAUUGUUGGGAGAAGUUUUGGAGGUACGUUUUAAUUAUUGGUUUCUAUUAACUUGUUGUGGAGAAGCAUGAUUGCAAUAGAAGUAGAAAUCAAAGAUUUUACAUAAAUAUGCUGACAGUGAAUCAUUACGAAAAUCAUAGUAAUUUGUACAAAUUGAUUUUGAUUCUGUUUUUUGGGUAUGUUAAACUAGACAUUGUCUAAUAUGUUUUGAAACUUGUUUCAAGUUAAUCGGAUAAGAUUUCGAUUAAUUAUGAUUUUUCAAAUUCAAGUCUGAAAACCUGGAAAUUUAUGAUUUCAGUGAAUUACGAAAUUAUUUCUACCAUAUCUAGACUCCUUCAAAAAUUAUGAAAUUUGGACCAAUGAUUUUUAUAUAUGUCUAGUAUGAUUCUGGAAAUUUUCAUGAUUUUAUGAUCAAGAAAUAAAUUGUUUUGUAUUUUUAAAGCAAGUGUGUUCAAAACAGAAAACUGUUUGACAGUAUUGAUGAUGUCUGAAACGUGAAUUAUUUUCAAUCUUUUUGGAAGGAAUUAUGUUAUGAAAUUUUUAUCAAUGAACUUUCAAUGUGUCAGCAUAUGGUCUGUAAAAUUUGAGAUUCUUCCAAUAAGAGAAUAAUUUAUUAAAAAUCGGAGAAAUAUGGACUGUUAUGUUUUGAGGGCCGAUUAUUGAGGACAUUUGAGGUUGAGCUUAAGAGUUAUUUAAAUUGAGAUAUUUGAGGACAUUAGAGUUUAUGAUUGAGAUUUGAUUAUAUCUUAUGAGAAUUUAUUGAUGAUUUUAGGUUGAUGGUAUCAGUACGCAUUUGUUACAUGAGGAUGCCAAGAGGUAAGUAAACUAGACUUUAAAACGAAUCACAAUAAAUAAUAUAUAUGUUUGACUUGUAUGAAAAGCCUAUUUUGAUAUGUACGAAUAUGGAUUUAUAUGUCUCUGCUCAUGUGUUUAUGUGAUGUGUUGUUAUGUAAUGGGCGUGAUUAUGUACAUGGGCAUAUAUAUGUGUGAUGGUUCAUUGGCAUGAGCACGAAAAUGCAUUGAGUUUUCUAUGAAUGAGAAAGUGGAUUUUAGCAAAUUGAAUUUAUGUUUUAUGAGAUUUUGCAUUGGGGGCCACCUCUUGAAGUUGUGUGGGGGCCACCUCUUGAGACUAUGCAGGGGCCACCUCUUGAGGGCUAGAGUCCCGCAAAGUGCCACGCAUGGUGCAAAGUGCCACGCACAACACAAAGUGCCACAUUGUAGGAUACGUAUUUCAUCGAAAGAAAAUGAGAAAGUUUGAAAGCGACAGAAAGAGAUUUUUAUGAAUUAAUUUUACAGUAUUUCUAAAAGAUCAUGGCAUAUCAUCCAUUGCAUUAUGUAUAAGUAUGUAUGUAUUUUCUAUAAGAAAAACUAGUUUGCUUACUGAGUUUUGUACUCAUUAUAGUUUAUUGUGAUUCAGUUUCCAGAAGUCAGGAUUGAUUCGUGAUGAGUGACAAGUUGAAGAUGGUAGAUGGUUUCGCUAAAUUUUUUAGUUAUUCCGCUGGCUUUUGUAUUUGAUGCUCGAAUUUUAUUGUUUGUAAAGAGUUAUUUAAAUCAUAUGUGAGUUGUGGACAUAUUUGCCCUUGGAUUUCGGACUGGGGUGUUA